CCUACGGGUGGCAGCAGUGAGGAAUAUUGGUCAAUGGCCGCGAGCCUGAACCAGCCAAGUCGCGUGAGGGAUGACUGUCCUAUGGGUUGUAAACCUCUUUUAUCAGGGAACAAUAGGCGCCACGUGUAGCGUGUUGCCAGUACCUGAAGAAAAAGCAUCGGCUAACUCCGUGCCAGCAGCCGCGGUAAUACGGAGGAUGCGAGCGUUAUCCGGAUUUAUUGGGUUUAAAGGGUGCGUAGGCGGAAUGUUAAGUUAGCGGUAAAAUUUCGGGGCUAAACCCCGGCUUGCCGUUGAAACUGGCGGUCUCGAGUACAGACGAGGUAGGCGGAAUACGUGGUGUAGCGGUGAAAUGCAUAGAUAUGACGUAGAACUCCGAUAGCGAAGGCAGCUUACCGGCCCUCAACUGACGCUGAUGCACGAAAGCGUGGGUAGCGAACAGGAUUAGAUACCCGUGUAGUC
RNAcentral lists this ribosomal RNA (459 nucleotides) under uncultured bacterium. RNAcentral's name for it is "partial 16S ribosomal RNA". It matches the Rfam family "Bacterial small subunit ribosomal RNA", at positions 338 to 795 of the family's 1533-position model. The record is from RNAcentral.